RNAcentral lists this ribosomal RNA (300 nucleotides) under Triticum aestivum (bread wheat). RNAcentral describes it as "partial small subunit ribosomal RNA". The record is from RNAcentral. Lineage: Eukaryota; Viridiplantae; Streptophyta; Magnoliopsida; Poales; Poaceae.
AUGCGUCAGUACUGGUGGGGUGUUGAGAAAGGAAAGAACAAGAUGGCGUGGCUCAGUUGGGAUAAAAUGAGAUUACCUAAGGCAAUGGGUGGCUUGGGGUUCAGAGAUAUGAGAGCUUCUAAUCAGGCGCUUCUCACUAAGCAGGCCUGGCGUCUCAUUGACACUCCGGACAGCCUUUGUGCCAGGUUGUUGAAGGCCAAAUACUACCCCUCAGGCAACCUGCUGGAUACGGUAUUCCCCAACCAUGGAUCGGCGGUCUGGAAAAGUAUCCUUCAUGGCCUCGAGUUGUUAAAAGCAUGA